GAAAAGUUAGUUUAAAAAUGUAAAAUAUUAAUUUGUCAAAUUAAAGAUAUUAUAAUUAAUACUUUUCU
RNAcentral lists this transfer RNA (68 nucleotides) under Orius niger. RNAcentral's name for it is "tRNA-Asp". The record is from RNAcentral. Lineage: Eukaryota; Metazoa; Arthropoda; Insecta; Hemiptera; Anthocoridae.